This is a long non-coding RNA of Ailuropoda melanoleuca (giant panda), 995 nucleotides long. RefSeq lists it as uncharacterized. Lineage: Eukaryota; Metazoa; Chordata; Mammalia; Carnivora; Ursidae. The record is from RefSeq and is a predicted model, not a curated record. The transcript has 5 exons.
CCCUGUCUUACAAAGACUGUAAACAGAGCAUCUGUCUCAGUUGGUUCCUGACUUUUCAUCACUUCCUCUGAAGCCAGCACCAUUGGCUGGGUGGGCCCCAGCACGAUCCAUCCAUGGGAAGUUGCAGAGAGAAGUCACCGCCUGACCUGAACAAAGUAUUCUAGGAGAUGACUUCUGCAUUUGAUUAACAUCAUGCAUUUCACGUAUUCGACAAACACUUGCUGAGCAUUUACUAUGCUGGAAACCAGAGAGACAGGUGGAAAGCCCGUCCUCUCUCAUGAGGAGCUCACAGUCUGGUUGGGAAGACAGCCACGUAUGCAGUCAGUGUACCCUGUAACCAAGACAGGCCUGCAUUACGCUGGAGGGUGCCUUGGUGGAACCCAGCAAGGGCCCCCAGAGACACCUCAGCUGAGUCCUGAGCAGUAGGAGACCGAAUGGGCCAGGAAAACAAAGUUUUUAGCUUCACAUAUGAUAAAUAUCAAAAGUUCCUUGGAGUCCUCGAUAAUUUCUAGGAGUAUAAAGAAGUCCAGAGACCAGAAGUUUGAAAACCACUGCUGUAGAGCAUGGAAUCUAGAAGAAGACAAGCCCAAGGAGCAGACGGUACAGCUGCAUCAUUUUCCAGGAAAACCAAAGCCAAGGAAAAGGCAGUACCCACAGGUAGAACAGGGAAAGGAACUGAGGAAUGCUUAAGAAGACCGUCAGCAUCCACGCAGUACCAUUUACUGAGUGUCUACUAACCAGGAAUCACCACCACCUGUGGGAAUGCAGCUGGGCUUGGCUGGGAGCGGACACUUAACGUCUCUGAUGCUGCAUGCAUCACGGAGACAGCUUCUGCCUGGAGCUCUAAGGGAAGGCUAUGACCCCAGAGCCUAGGUAAGCAACCACACAGAGCUUCGGUUUCUGUCCAGGCCCACAGCGCAGCCCGCAUCCCAGCUGAGGGUUCAGACCGUCUGCCACUGAGCCUAGGAUUCACAGGUCAAGCCUGUGUUCAGAUA